GAGUGUAUAGCUCAGUGGUAGAGUGCAUGCUUAGCAUGCAGGAGGUUCUGGGUUCAGUCCCCAGUACCUCCA
RNAcentral lists this transfer RNA (72 nucleotides) under Camelus bactrianus (Bactrian camel). It matches the Rfam family "tRNA". Rfam says of the family: Transfer RNA (tRNA) molecules are approximately 80 nucleotides in length. The record is from Rfam by way of RNAcentral. Lineage: Eukaryota; Metazoa; Chordata; Mammalia; Artiodactyla; Camelidae. RNAcentral also lists the same sequence under 2 other names.